This is a non-coding RNA of Pelobates cultripes (western spadefoot toad), 319 nucleotides long. The record is from the annotation of a GenBank genome assembly. Lineage: Eukaryota; Metazoa; Chordata; Amphibia; Anura; Pelobatidae.
GCAGGUUCAGCCGAACUUUGAAAAAAAGUCCGGGUUCGGGCUCGAACUUGACCCCGAACCCCAUUGAAUUCAAUGGGGAGCAGAACUUUUGGCCACAAAAAUCCCUCUAAAAAACUCCUGGAAAGGGCUAGAGAGCUGCAAAAGGAAGUAAAAUGGGGGUAAGAGUAGGGAAAUCACUUAAAAAUAACAUGAAAAUUAAAAAUACAGCUAAUGGGAAAUCAGGAUUCAUUCCGUACAGGGACCCUGAGAAACGGCUAUCACAUGCAAGGAAGGCAGCAGGCGCGCAAAUGACCCACUCCCGACGCGGGAAGGUAGUGAC